GACGAACGCUGGCGGCGUGCUUAACACAUGCAAGUCGAACGGAAAGACCCUGCUCUUGUGGGGUGCUCGAUUGGCGCACGGGUGAGUAACACGUGAGUAUCCUGCCCUUGACUUUGUGAUAACUUUAGGAAACUGCGGCUAUUACCGGAUAGGAUCUCCUGCUGCACGGUGUGCGUUGGUAAGUUUCGGCGGUUGGGGAUGGACUCGCGGCUUAUCAGCUUGUUGGUGGGGUAGUGGCGGACCAAGGCUUUGACGGGUAGCCGGCCUGAGAGGGUUACCGGCCACAUUGGGACUGAGAUACGGCCCAGAAUCCUACGGGAGGCAGCAGUGGGGAAUAUUGCACAAUGGGCGGAAGCCUGAUGCAGCAACGCCGCGUGCGGGAUGACGGCCUUCGGGUUGUAAACCGCUUUCGCCUGUGACGAAGCGUGAGUGACGGUAAUGGGUAAAGAAGCACCGGCUAACUACGUG
Molecule: ribosomal RNA, 468 nt
Filed under: uncultured bacterium
Lineage: Bacteria
Description: partial 16S ribosomal RNA
Rfam family: Bacterial small subunit ribosomal RNA
Source: RNAcentral